ACUAUAAUAUCAUUUGUAUUUUGUGUUAUUCACCGCUAACGUUAUUAUCCAAUUAUUGUUGGUACCUACAAACAUGGUCAAACAUAUUAUUAUUAAGCUAACUUUAUGUUUUAUGGUUUAUAUUAUUGGAAAUAUAGAUGCGGCAGGUGAAGAAGCUCGUAAAGCAAAAUUUUUACUUGCGGUCCAAUGCAAUAAGCAAUUGUUUGAAAACGGACUUAUAAAAGGAAUACCUGACUUGCAGAGAUCGCCUAAUAGUACAUUUAAAGUAGUAUUGACUCAAUUUUAUACAUCAUAUGGAAUCAAUACCAUAACAGCGACAAACAGAGAGAUUUUACCAACUAUUCACAAUUCCCAGUUUACAACAGAUGAAGGAGUUGAUAGUUUUAUAAGAGAAUUCGUAUUCGAUUUCCUUCAAAACGGUACAAAUGAUAUAUUUCAAGGCAAAAUUACUGCAUUAAAGGCGAAAGUGAGUAAUGGCCAACUAAAUGAUUAUCCACUGAAAACGUUUGUUAAUGGUUAUAAUCCUGGGAGUCAUAAAGAAUAUUUAAAAACAACAACAGGGUUUUGUAUAAAAUACAGCCAAUAUCCUAAUUUUAGGGGACCAGGUUGUUAAAAUUGAAACAAUAGUAGUGCAAAGUAGCACCUUGUAAGUUACAAUAUUUUUUAUGACAUAGGAGGGCUAUUUCGUCUGGAUAAACAUACAGCUUCAUAUUAUGAAUAUUGAACUAGUUAAAUUAUAUCGGCAUGUUACACUAAUAAAAAAAUUAUAUUAUUAUAUAACUUAACUACAUAAGAAUGAUCUAAAUGCAUUUAUAAUGAUACUAAAUAUAAAAUAGAGAAUAUAAUGUAA
This is an RNA transcript of Metopolophium dirhodum (rose-grain aphid), 850 nucleotides long. RefSeq lists it as uncharacterized. NCBI's taxonomy places the organism in Eukaryota, Metazoa, Arthropoda, Insecta, Hemiptera, Aphididae. The transcript has 13 exons. The record is from RefSeq and is a predicted model, not a curated record.